Molecule: long non-coding RNA, 381 nt
Organism: Mercurialis annua (annual mercury)
Lineage: Eukaryota; Viridiplantae; Streptophyta; Magnoliopsida; Malpighiales; Euphorbiaceae
Exons: 4
Source: RefSeq, a predicted model, not a curated record
UUCACAUUUCUUUUGCUUCUAACCUAAAUUUUUCAUCCCUUUAAUACAAACCCUAGCCGUCUAUCACUCCAAAUGUAUCUGAAAUCAUAAUCUUUAUCAUUCCUUUCCCUUUCGAUUCAAAAUUCGCUUUAAUCUGAAUUUUCUUCAACGAUUCAUAUCGACUCAGCGAUAUCUUCGAUCCUUACGUAUUGGAAUCAAUAAUGACCCGUCGACUGUUCGUACUUCAGAGGCGAACCAGAGUUAGAUUGCUUGUCAAGUUUCACGAGGAAUAGCAAGCAGUUUAUGAUUUGAGCGUUUGGUCGAUCUCCAUUUCUUCAUUCCCGGAGGUUUUUAUUUUAUUUUCAGAAUAAAAGAGUCGAACUAUUUUAAACUCUUAGACCG